Molecule: ribosomal RNA, 405 nt
Filed under: uncultured bacterium
Lineage: Bacteria
Description: partial 16S ribosomal RNA
Rfam family: Bacterial small subunit ribosomal RNA
Source: RNAcentral
AUUGAACGCUGGCGGCAGGCCUAACACAUGCAAGUCGAACGAGUGGCGGACGGGUGAGUAAUGUCUGGGAACUGCCCGAUGGAGGGGGAUAACUAUUGGAAACGAUAGCUAAUACCGCAUACUGUGAGAUGGACCUGCGUUGUAUUAGCUAGUUGGUGAGGUAAAGGCUCACAAAGGCGACGCUACAUAGCCGACCUGGGAGGUUGGUCGGCCACACUGGGACUGAGACACGGCCCAGGCUCCUGCGGGAGGCAGCAGUAGGGACUCUGCGGCAAUGGACGGAAGUCUGACCGAGCAACGCCGCGUGAGUGAAGAAGGUUUUCGGAUCGUAAAGCUCUGUUGUUAGAGAAGCGGUAACUAACCAGAAAGGGACGGCUAACUACGUGCCAGCCGCCGCGGUAAUAC